RNAcentral lists this transfer RNA (69 nucleotides) under Geoscapheus robustus. RNAcentral describes it as "tRNA-Val". Lineage: Eukaryota; Metazoa; Arthropoda; Insecta; Blattodea; Blaberidae. The record is from RNAcentral.
CAAACUAUACUUUAAGAUAAGGUUUUCAUUUACAUUGGAAAAGUUAUUGUGCAAUUCAAUAUGGUUUGA